Molecule: ribosomal RNA, 705 nt
Filed under: Mycobacterium sp. L1906
Lineage: Bacteria; Bacillati; Actinomycetota; Actinomycetes; Mycobacteriales; Mycobacteriaceae
Description: bacterial SSU rRNA
Rfam family: Bacterial small subunit ribosomal RNA
Source: RNAcentral
UCAGGACGAACGCUGGCGGCGUGCUUAACACAUGCAAGUCGAACGGAAAGGCCCUUUCGGGGGUACUCGAGUGGCGAACGGGUGAGUAACACGUGGGUGAUCUGCCCUGCACUUUGGGAUAAGCCUGGGAAACUGGGUCUAAUACCGGAUAGGACUACGCGAUGCAUGUCGUGUGGUGGAAAGCUUUUGCGGUGUGGGAUGGGCCCGCGGCCUAUCAGCUUGUUGGUGGGGUGAUGGCCUACCAAGGCGACGACGGGUAGCCGGCCUGAGAGGGUGACCGGCCACACUGGGACUGAGAUACGGCCCAGACUCCUACGGGAGGCAGCAGUGGGGAAUAUUGCACAAUGGGCGCAAGCCUGAUGCAGCGACGCCGCGUGAGGGAUGACGGCCUUCGGGUUGUAAACCUCUUUCAGCAGGGACGAAGCGCAAGUGACGGUACCUGUAGAAGAAGGACCGGCCAACUACGUGCCAGCAGCCGCGGUAAUACGUAGGGUCCGAGCGUUGUCCGGAAUUACUGGGCGUAAAGAGCUCGUAGGUGGUUUGUCGCGUUGUUCGUGAAAACUCACAGCUCAACUGUGGGCGUGCGGGCGAUACGGGCAGACUUGAGUACUGCAGGGGAGACUGGAAUUCCUGGUGUAGCGGUGGAAUGCGCAGAUAUCAGGAGGAACACCGGUGGCGAAGGCGGGUCUCUGGGCAGUAACUGAC